UGCUCUGGGAUGGCUCAGUCAGUAGAGCCUGAGACACUUAAUAUCAGGGUUGUGGGUUUGAGGCCCAUGUUGGGUAA
Podarcis lilfordi (Lilford's wall lizard) is the source of this 77-nucleotide non-coding RNA. The record is from the annotation of a GenBank genome assembly. Lineage: Eukaryota; Metazoa; Chordata; Lepidosauria; Squamata; Lacertidae.